AUGAACGCUGGCGGCGUGCUUAACACAUGCAAGUCGAACGGGAAACCUUUUAUUGAAGCUUCGGCAGAUUUAGCUGGUUUCUAGUGGCGGACGGGUGAGUAACGCGUGGGUAACCUGCCCUAUACAGGGGGAUAACAAACAGAAAUGGUUGCUAAUACCGCAUAAGCGCACAGGGCCGCAUGGUCCGGUGUGAAAAACUCCGGUGGUAUAGGAUGGACCCGCGUUGGAUUAGCCAGUUGGCAGGGUAACGGCCUACCAAAGCGACGAUCCAUAGCCGGCCUGAGAGGGUGAACGGCCACAUUGGGACUGAGACACGGCCCAGACUCCUACGGGAGGCAGCAGUGGGGAAUAUUGCACAAUGGGGGAAACCCUGAUGCAGCGACGCCGCGUGAAGGAAGAAGUAUCUCGGUAUGUAAACUUCUAUCAGCAGGGAAGAUAGUGACGGUACCUGACUAAGAAGCCCCGGCUAACUACGUG
Molecule: ribosomal RNA, 477 nt
Filed under: uncultured bacterium
Lineage: Bacteria
Description: partial 16S ribosomal RNA
Rfam family: Bacterial small subunit ribosomal RNA
Source: RNAcentral